AGGGCAGAGGAGAAACAAGACAUGGCUGAGAGGGAAAGCAGGCCCAUGCCCCCAGCAGAGGAUCAGGAAACCAGCAUGUCCUGAACGGGAGCAGCACGGACGAACGGAGCGGGAGAACGAGCGGCCUGGCAGUCACCGCCUUCGGGGCCGAGACCUCACCACCACCUCACCCCGAGCCCUGCAGACCCCAGAGCUGCCUCCUCUGCCUCCAGGAUCCUUCAACCUUUUGGGAAACAUCGUCCUUAAAAAAAARAAAUAAAAUAAAAAUUUAAAAAGAAGAAGGAAAACAAGGAAAAACCCCAGAAAACGCGGCACGAGCAGCACUUUUCAGGACAGGUUCUGGUGUGUUUUGGGAAUGGUCUGUGGAGAGCAGCGCAAACACUCGCUGGGUAAAUCAAGAGUAUCCUCCAGGCCAUGAAUCCCCAGCCCAGAAAGAGAAUUUAUUUUUGGUUUGAGUUACAAACCCUUCCCCUUGCUCGCUGCUGGCCAGCGCGGAGAUCGUGUGGAGAGCUGCACCCCCGGGGUCUUCCAGGAGAUCCCAAAAACUGCUGGACCAGGGAAAAACAACUCCAGAAUAUCCCAAAAGCUGCUGGACCAGGGAACAACAACAAAUCCUCCAGGACAUCCCAAAAACUGCUGGACAAGGGAAAAACAGCUCCAGGAGAUCCCAAAAACUGCUGGACCAGGGAACAACAACAAAUCCUCCAGGACAUCCCAAAAACUGCUGGAUUGGGAACAACUCCAGGAUAUCCCAAAAGAUGCCAGUCCAGAG
Molecule: long non-coding RNA, 772 nt
Organism: Malurus melanocephalus (red-backed fairy wren)
Lineage: Eukaryota; Metazoa; Chordata; Aves; Passeriformes; Maluridae
Exons: 3
Source: RefSeq, a predicted model, not a curated record